RNAcentral lists this ribosomal RNA (579 nucleotides) under Clostridioides difficile. RNAcentral describes it as "bacterial LSU rRNA". It matches the Rfam family "Bacterial large subunit ribosomal RNA", at positions 864 to 1451 of the family's 2925-position model. Lineage: Bacteria; Bacillati; Bacillota; Clostridia; Peptostreptococcales; Peptostreptococcaceae. The record is from RNAcentral.
AUAGCUUUAGGGCUAGCCUCAAGGUGAGAGAUACGGAGGUAGAGCACUGAAUGUCCUAGGGGGUAUUGCACCUACCGAAGACUAUCAAACUCCGAAUGCCGUCAUCUUAUACUUGGGAGUCAGACUGUGGGUGAUAAGAUUCAUAGUCGAAAGGGCAACAGCCCAGAUCGUCAGCUAAGGUCCCUAAAUGUAAGUUAAGUGGUAAAGGAUGUGGGAUUGCACAGACAACCAGGAUGUUGGCUUAGAAGCAGCCACUCAUUCAAAGAGUGCGUAAUAGCUCACUGGUCGAGUGAUACUGCGCCGAAGAUUUCCGGGGCUAAAAAUUACUACCGAAGCUACGGCAUCAGUAAUGAUGGGUAGGGGAGCUUCCCAUACGGGUUGAAGCAUGACCGUAAGGACAUGUGGACAGUAUGGGAGUGAGAAGGUUGGCAUGAGUAGCGAGAUGUGGGUGGGAACCCCACAGGCCGUAAAACCAAGGUUUACAGGGGAAGGGUCGUCCGCCCUGGGUGCGUAGGGCCCUAAGCUGGGGCCGAACGGCGUAGGUGAGGGCAAACAGGUUGAUAUUCCUGUACUACCGAU